Molecule: long non-coding RNA, 1225 nt
Organism: Coccinella septempunctata (seven-spotted ladybird)
Lineage: Eukaryota; Metazoa; Arthropoda; Insecta; Coleoptera; Coccinellidae
Exons: 3
Source: RefSeq, a predicted model, not a curated record
GGGUGAAACUCGCUUAGAAACAACGUGAACCGCUAAAAUGUGCUGACAAGGCUGCCAUCUAGCGGAACGUAUCGUAAACAGCAGAAAUGACGCGCAUGCGCGUGAAAUGUAAUGUCAUGUCAGUGUCAAGACUGAGGAAAAAAGUAAACAACAAACACCAUUUCUUUUGUGUUUAUGUGUUUAAAAUCCAUAUCCUGAUACCAAUAUUUCACUCUUUCUUUUCAUUGCCUGCUACGCAUGUUGUGUACGCUCUGAUAGUUUUAAUUUUGCCGAGUUAUUCUCCGAAUUAUAUUCCCACAAUGUCGAGAUUUUGUUGUGUUCCCAAAUGCAUGAUGAAGAUUUGAGGGUUCUGGCUCCAACAAAGCGUUAUGGGAGUGAAAAAGGGAAAGAUAUUUUGAAAGCAACAGAAAGAACAGUUUCUCAAUCUAUUUAAGAAGAAUGUCAACCUUCAAGACAGGAAGAUUCUGAAGAAAUACAGUGGAAAUAUAUUCCAGAAGAAUCUCAACCUUGCUCAGUUCCGGCAACUCACAUAUCUAAGAAGAAAGGAGGGCCGAUUGAGGAGCAGAAACAUAGCUUUGAGGGAGAAAGUAAUGUUGUUGAAGAAAACAUUGGGUUGCCUCAACAAUGUGAACAGAACAACAUUCAAUUUUUUUAUGUCUCAACAAAUGAACCAAAAACAAAAGAAGAGGGGUCGUCGAUACUCUCUUGAUGACAAAAAAAGGAGAUAGGUAUUAUCCUUUCAUGAUUCUAUUUAUCUCCUCAUAUUUAUUUCAAAUUUUAUCUAUAUUAUCAAUAUUGUAUUUAUUUAUUCUAUUGAAUUUAUAAAUCAGCUAAAUGAAUAGAUCCUGUACAUACAAUUUUCUACGUUUCAUAAAUUUAGAAAAUCCAAACAAUCUCAAGUACUGAAGGUAAAUUGUUGAAUUCCUUCAAAUUAAUUAAUUUCUGAAAAGAUUGCUACUCAUUUUUUAUAUUGAUUUAUAAUUUUGUUUUCCCAUAGGGAAAACCAAAUAGAGCCUUUAUAGAUUGUUAUAUGUAAUUGGAGUCCCAUAGAGAAAACAGUAUAGAGCCUUUACAAUUUUGUUGUGAAACACAUGAAUUUACCUUAAGUUUGUUAUAUGUAUUCCCCAAUAUUACACACAUGUAUUUCUGAGUAUUAUUAUGCAAAGUUAUUGUCAUGUUCCAAGUAGAAAUGAAUAUUGUAUUGAAUAAAUUUUUUUUCAUAACA